UGGGGAAUAUUGGACAAUGGGCGCAAGCCUGAUCCAGCCAUGCCGCGUGUGUGAAGAAGGCCUUCGGGUUGUAAAGCACUUUUGUCCGGAAAGAAAUCCUUGGCUCUAAUACAGUCGGGGGAUGACGGUACCGGAAGAAUAAGCACCGGCUAACUACGUGCCAGCAGCCGCGGUAAUACGUAGGGUGCAAGCGUUAAUCGGAAUUACUGGGCGUAAAGCGUGCGCAGGCGGUUUGCUAAGACCGAUGUGAAAUCCCCGGGCUCAACCUGGGAACUGCAUUGGUGACUGGCAGGCUAGAGUAUGGCAGAGGGGGGUAGAAUUCCACGUGUAGCAGUGAAAUGCGUAGAGAUGUGGAGGAAUACCGAUGGCGAAGGCAGCCCCCUGGGCCAAUACUGACGCUCAUGCACGAAAGCGUGGGGAGCAAACAGGAUUAGAUACCCUGGUAGUCCACGCCCUAAACGAUGUCAACUAGUUGUUGGGGAUUCAUUUCCUUAGUAACGUAGCUAACGCGUGAAGUUGACCGCCUGGGGAGUACGGUCGCAAGAUUAAAACUCAAAGGAAUUGACGGGGUCAUA
This 575-nucleotide ribosomal RNA is filed under the name uncultured bacterium. RNAcentral describes it as "partial 16S ribosomal RNA". It matches the Rfam family "Bacterial small subunit ribosomal RNA", at positions 355 to 923 of the family's 1533-position model. The record is from RNAcentral.